AUACGAAGGGGGCUAGCGUUGUUCGGAAUCACUGGGCGUAAAGCGCGCGUAGGUGGAUCAACUAGUUGAGGGUGAAAUCCCGGGGCUCAACCUCGGAACUGCCUUCAAUACUGUUGAUCUUGAGACCGAGAGAGGUGAGUGGAAUUCCUAGUGUAGAGGUGAAAUUCGUAGAUAUUAGGAAGAACACCAGUGGCGAAGGCGGCUCACUGGCUCGGUACUGACGCUGAGGUGCGAAAGCGUGGGGAGCAAACAGGAUUAGAAACCCUAGUAGUCC
This 274-nucleotide ribosomal RNA is filed under the name uncultured bacterium. RNAcentral describes it as "partial 16S ribosomal RNA". It matches the Rfam family "Bacterial small subunit ribosomal RNA", at positions 523 to 796 of the family's 1533-position model. The record is from RNAcentral.